This 73-nucleotide transfer RNA is filed under the name uncultured Synechococcus sp. Its description in RNAcentral is "tRNA-Ala". Lineage: Bacteria; Bacillati; Cyanobacteriota; Cyanophyceae; Synechococcales; Synechococcaceae. The record is from RNAcentral.
GGGGGUUUAGCUCAGUUGGUGCAUCGCCUGCUUUGCAAGCAGGAUGUCCAGACUUCUAGCCUCCUAACCUCCG